RNAcentral lists this transfer RNA (73 nucleotides) under Conidiobolus sp. RNAcentral's name for it is "tRNA-Met". It matches the Rfam family "tRNA". From Rfam's summary of the family: Transfer RNA (tRNA) molecules are approximately 80 nucleotides in length. Their secondary structure includes four short double-helical elements and three loops (D, anti-codon, and T loops). Further hydrogen bonds mediate the characteristic L-shaped molecular structure. tRNAs have two regions of fundamental functional importance: the anti-codon, which is responsible for specific mRNA codon recognition, and the 3' end, to which the tRNAs corresponding amino acid is attached (by aminoacyl-tRNA synthetases). tRNAs cope with the degeneracy of the genetic code in two manners: having more than one tRNA (with a specific anti-codon) for a particular amino acid; and 'wobble' base-pairing, i.e. permitting non-standard base-pairing at the 3rd anti-codon position. The record is from RNAcentral. Lineage: Eukaryota; Fungi; Entomophthoromycota; Entomophthoromycetes; Entomophthorales; Conidiobolaceae.
AGGAUGAUAGCUUAAUUGGUAGAGCAUUCCGCUCAUAACGGGCAAGAUAUUGGUUCAACUCCAAUUCAUCCUA